This 1356-nucleotide ribosomal RNA is filed under the name metagenome. RNAcentral's name for it is "bacterial LSU rRNA". It matches the Rfam family "Bacterial large subunit ribosomal RNA", at positions 1597 to 2925 of the family's 2925-position model. The record is from RNAcentral.
AAAUCCCGCUGCCAAGAAAAGCUUCGUAGGGAGUUUCAGACAUAACCGUACCGCAAACCGACACAGGUACUCGAGUAGAAUAUACUAAGGCGCGCGAGCGAACUCUGGUUAAGGAACUAGGCAAACUGGUCCCGUAACUUCGGAAGAAGGGAUGCCCGUCGACUUAACUCCGUACAGGGGAAGGGUUGAUGGGCCGCAGUGAAAUGGCUCUCGUGACUGUUUAACAAAAACACAGGACUCUGCUGAAAUCACAAGAUGAUGUAUAGGGUCUGAUGCCUGCCCGGUGCUGGAAGGUCACGGGGAGAUGUUAGUGCUCGCAAGAGUGCAAAGCAUUGAACCUAAGCCCCAGUAAACGGCGGCCGUAACAAUAACGGUCCUAAGGUAGCGAAAUUCCUUGUCGGGUAAGUUCCGACCUGCACGAAUGGCAUAACAAAGAGAGCGCUGUCUCAACCAGAGGCUCGGUGAAAUUGGGGUGCAAGUGAAGACGCUUGCUGCCCGCGGCUAGACGAAAAGACCCCGUGAAGCUUUACUGUAUCUUGAUAAGGAACUACGGGAGUGGAUGCGUAGAAUAGGUGGGACCCUUCGAAACCCUGCUUUCGGGUGGGGUGGAGGGGCCAGUGAAAUACCACUCUUCCGGUCUUGUGGUUCUAACUACGUCCCUUAUAUCAGGGCGUAGGACAUUGUCAGGUGGGCAGUUUAACUGGGGCGGUUGCCUCCUAAAGAGUAACGGAGGCGCACAAAGGUUCCCUCAGCGCGUAUAGAAAUCGCGCCUCGAAUGCAAGUGUAGAAGGGAGCCUGACUGCGAGACGGACAUGUCGAGCAGGUGCGAAAGCAGGUACUAGUGAUCCGGUGGUUGAAUGUGGAAUUGCCAUCGCUCAACGAAUAAAAGCUACUCCGGGGAUAACAGGCUUAUCGGAUCCAAGAGUCCAUAUCGACGAUCCGGUUUGGCACCUCGAUGUCGGCUCAUCGCAUCCUCCCGCUGAAGUAGGUGGGAAGGGUUUGGCUGUUCGCCAAUUAAAGCGGUACGUGAGCUGGGUUCAGUACGUCGUGAGACAGUACGGUCUCUAUCUACCGUGGGCGUAGGAAUCUUGAAGGGAUCUGUUCCUAGUACGAGAGGACCGGAAUGGACGAACCUCUGGUGUACCGGUUGUACCGCCAGGUGCAUGGCCGGAUAGCUAAGUUCGGAGUGGAUAAACGCUGAAAGCAUCUAAGUGUGAAACCAGCCCUGAGAUAAGGAUUCCCAUGCCGCAAGGCAUCUAAAGAUCCGCAGAAGACUACUGCGUUGAUAGGCGGGACGUAGAAGCGCCGUUAAGGCGUGGAGCGCACCCGUACUAAUUGAUUGUGCGGCUUAGCCGU